RNAcentral lists this ribosomal RNA (433 nucleotides) under uncultured bacterium. RNAcentral describes it as "partial 16S ribosomal RNA". It matches the Rfam family "Bacterial small subunit ribosomal RNA", at positions 29 to 507 of the family's 1533-position model. The record is from RNAcentral.
AACGAACGCUGGCGGCAUGCCUAACACAUGCAAGUCGAACGAGACCUUCGGGUCUAUUGGCGCACGGGUGCGUAACGCGUGGGAACCUGCCCUUAGGUUCGGAAUAACUCCCCGAAAGGGGUGCUAAUACCGGAUAAUGUCUUCGGACCAAAGAUUUAUCGCCUUUGGAUGGUCCCGCGUUGGAUUAGCUUGUUGGUAGGGUAAAAGCCUACCAAGGCGCCGAUCCAUAGCUGGUGUGAGAGGAUGAUCAGCCACACUGGGACUGAGACACGGCCCAGACUCCUACGGGAGGCAGCAGUGGGGAAUAUUGGACAAUGGGCGAAAGCCUGAUCCAGCAAUGCCGCGUGAGUGAUGAAGGCCUGAGGGUUGUAAAGCUCUUUUACCCGGGAUGAUAAUGACAGUACCGGGAGAAUAAGCUCCGGCUAACUCCGUG